AUCCAGCUGACAAGUUCCAAAUAGGAUGAAACGCGUGUUCUGCAU
Schistosoma margrebowiei is the source of this 45-nucleotide non-coding RNA. The record is from Rfam. Lineage: Eukaryota; Metazoa; Platyhelminthes; Trematoda; Strigeidida; Schistosomatidae.